Long non-coding RNA from Neopsephotus bourkii (Bourke's parrot), 2779 nucleotides. RefSeq lists it as uncharacterized. The record is from RefSeq and is a predicted model, not a curated record. Lineage: Eukaryota; Metazoa; Chordata; Aves; Psittaciformes; Psittacidae. The transcript is spliced from 3 exons.
UCCCGGCUUUGUCAUUCUCAAGGCUGUAGGCUGACAUGCUGUUGAGUCUGGAGAGGAAGUAGCCUAUGCUAAUACAUGGUGCAAGAUCACCCAGUUCUUCUCUUACUGGUAAAAUGGCUAUGUAUGUAUACUAUCUCCAUGUGUUCAGGCUGCCUGCAAACAGUGGCCAUUGGAUCUUGGCCUAUUUUGUCAUAUUUUGCGUUGUGGUAGUAUUGAAAAUAUGGGUGUUGUGUAUGAAGUUAUCUAAAAUAAAAUGGUUUAGCAGGUACCAUGGCCUCUGAAGUGGUAGGUUUGGAUGUAAUGUGGUGAGAUGGUGAGUUUGCCUUGAAUCUUCUUGCAUUUAAUACUGGUGCUAUAUCCUCUUCCACAAAAUGCAGUCUUCUCUUUCAGGUUUAAAAUGCAAUAAUCAGAUUAUGAGUAUUGUUUACAACUUUAAUUGGUUUAAUUUAAUUAGUUUAUCAUUAGCUCUGGAUCAGGACCUUGCUGCAGUACUUUCUCUGCAAUACUUUGUUUAAUUAUAUUUAAUGCAAUCUUUUUGUUUUCCCAGAGGCUAAAUAAGCCUGCAGCCAAAGACUCAAAAUCGAUACAGAGGACUAUUCUUAAACUCUGUGUUUUCAGAUAGGUCUGGAAGAACCAGGCUUAAAACAUGCAUUGCAUCUGCUGUUUAAUUUUCUGUCUCUCCAUAGUGCUGCAUGACCCCCUAAGCUGGGAGCAGGAAACCAACCCAAUUUAAUAUGAAGAAAUGGUUCUUUCUCUCUGUACAGCUAAUAACCUAGUCUGAUACCUGGUUUUCCUGGUUUACCUUCCUUUGCAGCAUUUCUUCUUGCCUGAUCUUUCUACAUCCAAAUUAUUAUUUUAAUUGAAGAGUUAUUUGAAACAUCUUCAGGAGACAUGCAUGGUACUGAGCACCUCUGCAGAGCAUGUGGGGGUGCAGUUAAGUCUCAUUCCCACAUUUAUGUGCUGUGAUUCUUCGUUUCCUAAUAAUAAUUACUUGAAGUGUCUAUUUUAUCAGUUUUCUUUCAAUUCUCCAACACAAGUGGAAUUCUGCCAUAGCCAAUGAGUUCCUCUGUUUUCUACCAUUGCUGUGACUCUGUCUCUCAUCCAAGAAAAGGAAGUUUUCAUGCACUGUGGGCUAUCCUGCUGUUUCCUAGGAUACUUUCAAAGAAGUCCUGAGAUGCCUUUUACAGCAAAAGCAGCACCAUCUCCUACUUGCCUAUUUUUACCGCUUCCACACAUGCAUCCUCCAACAAAAGAGUCCUGAAUGACAAAGUAUGUUUUCAGGUUUCACUGUUGAACUUUUUGUAGGAGAAGGGGAUCGCUGUGAAUGAAGCUCCUCAGGAUCAAAGCAAUUAUGAAGAGUGAACAAAUUAGCAUUUCCUCAAAAUCAUGGAGCCUCUACAAGUGUGAGAGGUGUGAAGAUUAACUGGGGAUGUGACUGAAAGUGAAGAAACAGAUCCUCUGAUCAUGCUGGGCCCAAUGCUCAGAAGGAGGGCUGAAUUCCCUUUGUUUUGGGGACAACCUGGCUUCCUAAUAGGUCUCAGGUGUCACUAUUCUCUAUUUUCAAAGGAGCCCAUGGAGCCUUGAUGAAGAAGGCUGCCACAUGGUGUAGAGCCAACCUUGAGCAUUCAAGAUAUAACCCUUCUCCAAAACAGAAAGUCUUAAAUGGCAGCCCAAGAGGACUUGAACAAGACUGCCAAGGCUGCAAGUGUUCUUGGCUGCAUGGAGGGAAACCUUAGGCAGAGUCUCCAGGAAAGAGAGAUCACUGACAUUUUGAAAGGCUGAAAUAAAUCUUUUGGAAGUCUCAUUCUGUGAUGACAGAUUGCAAUAGACUUUUAGAUGAAGAACAACUCUUAUUUUUUUCCUCUUCUGGAACUUCAGACUUGUUUAUUCCAGGCUACCCUCCUCCUCUCCUCAUACACAGAGAAGUAGAGGUGUUGCCAAUGUCUUUAACUUUUCCAAACUCUCCUGGGAAACAGGAUAUAGCCAGCAAUAAAGACUAGCAGAUGUUACCAUUGCUUUCUGUUAUAAGAAUACAACCCCUGACAUACUCAUUUUUUAAAGACUACACCCUUUUUGUGACAUGUUUAGAAAGCUUCUUUUAAUAAAUGGAUAAGAUUAGUCAAUAUUGAUUGUUGAACUGAACUGUCUUCAGUAGCAAACCACUUACUCUUUUCUACUGGGCUUUACGGCAUGAAUAGGGACUUUUAAUUUGCUAAUAGGUGAUUAAAAAUGCAACUUUUUGUAGAACUCCAGAAUGUGAGUGUAUGGGAUCAUACUGUGCUCCUUCUUCAAAGAGAUGCUAUUUAAUCCUUGCUUUCUUCAGCUUAAAUAGAGUCACUUAUGACCUUGCAUGAACUCUCAGUAUGUUGUUCUACUCUGCUGUAGCUAAUAGCAUUAGUGGUAAUUAUGACCCAUAAACCCACACAUUUCUACUAGAAGCAAAGAAGAUUUAUGCAUCUAAAAGCCACUGUGCUUGAAUGUAUUUUAAUUAUGGCCUAUAUUAAUAUUUUUCAACAUCAGCAUCUCACUAAUACGUCAGUUUAAAUAUACUCAUCAUCGUACUUUUAAGACCUACAGCAAGUUAGAGUUAUAGAUUACUAUUUUCAGGUGUCUGGGAGCAGCUCCAAUAAUUAUAAAGAAGCAGAGCAGCAAGUCCUAUUUAUAGACAUAAAUGCAGAAUAAAAAAGAAUUAUGACUUUGGGAACUGCUGCUUUUAAAACUAGCUAUGGAAGCGUAACCUACUGCUGAAAUGAUAAGGUAUAUUCAUGAAUACAUUGCA